Molecule: unclassified non-coding RNA, 370 nt
Filed under: soil metagenome
Description: partial contains 5.8S ribosomal RNA, internal transcribed spacer 2, and large subunit ribosomal RNA
Rfam family: 5.8S ribosomal RNA (bases 1-120)
Source: RNAcentral
GAUGAAGAACGUAGCAAAAUGCGAUAAGUAGUGUGAAUUGCAGAAUUCAGUGAAUCAUCGAAUCUUUGAACGCACAUUGCGCCCGCCAGUAUUCUGGCGGGCAUGCCUGUUCGAGCGUCAUUUCAACCCUCAGGCCCCCAGUGCCUGGCGUUGGGGAUCGGCGUGGGCGGCGACGGCUCUCCGGAGCCCGAACCAAUGCCUGCCGGCCCCGAAAUUCAGUGGCGGUCUCGCUGUAGUCCCCCUCUGCGUAGUAGCACAACUCGCAUUGGAGCUCGGCGGUGGCCAUGCCGUAAAACACCCCACUUCUGAAAGUUGACCUCGGAUCAGGUAGGAAUACCCGCUGAACUUAAGCAUAUCAAUAAGCGGAGGA